GUAGGUGGCAAGCGUUGUCCGGAAUUAUUGGGCGUAAAGCGCGCGCAGGCGGUCCUUUAAGUCUGAUGUGAAAGCCCACGGCUCAACCGUGGAGGGUCAUUGGAAACUGGGGGACUUGAGUACAGAAGAGGAAAGCGGAAUUCCAAGUGUAGCGGUGAAAUGCGUAGAGAUUUGGAGGAACACCAGUGGCGAAGGCGGCUUUCUGGUCUGUAACUGACGCUGAGGCGCGAAAGUGUGGGGAGCAAACAGGAUUAGAUACCCUGGUAGUCCACGCCGUAAACGAUGAGUGCUAAGUGUUAGGGGGUUUCCCGCCCCCCUUAGUGCUGCAGCUAACGCAUUAAGCACUCCGCCUGGGGAGUACGGCCGCAAGGCUG
This 374-nucleotide ribosomal RNA is filed under the name uncultured organism. Its description in RNAcentral is "partial 16S ribosomal RNA". It matches the Rfam family "Bacterial small subunit ribosomal RNA", at positions 527 to 896 of the family's 1533-position model. The record is from RNAcentral.